AUAGGACCGGUUUUUCCAUUCAAAGGAGAAACCAGCCUGAGAAUACCGGCUUCAGUAUUUUUACGUAAUUUUCGAAGUCCACCGUUUAACAAAAGAUUCUGUAAGGUUUUCCACCAAUUGGAUGGCCAAAAAUCAGACGAUAUUACGCCAGAUCUUGGUAUUACUUGUGGGGGAAAAAUACAUUUUUAUCUUGUUUUACCUGUAUAAAUGACUUCUCUCGAUGUAUGUAACAUUCAUUUGGUUCUCAUUAAAAGACGGUACUAGUCACUAAA
Molecule: long non-coding RNA, 272 nt
Organism: Vespula vulgaris
Lineage: Eukaryota; Metazoa; Arthropoda; Insecta; Hymenoptera; Vespidae
Exons: 2
Source: RefSeq, a predicted model, not a curated record